Molecule: non-coding RNA, 108 nt
Organism: Triticum aestivum (bread wheat)
Lineage: Eukaryota; Viridiplantae; Streptophyta; Magnoliopsida; Poales; Poaceae
Source: Rfam
UGGUUGCUGUGAUGAAUCGCAAGGACGGUAUCUGAGUAAUUUGGCUCUUGAAAAAGGCCACCUUCCUUGAUUACACAUCCUAAACUGAUCAUAUAUUCUGAGCAGGCA